This is an RNA transcript of Glycine soja, 5347 nucleotides long. It is a transcript of the gene named disease resistance protein RPM1-like, with no coding region annotated. The record is from RefSeq and is a predicted model, not a curated record. The transcript is spliced from 9 exons. NCBI's taxonomy places the organism in Eukaryota, Viridiplantae, Streptophyta, Magnoliopsida, Fabales, Fabaceae.
AUGGUUAAGAUAUUAUCAUAAACCGUGUCCGUAUCAUUGUUUGGCUAAGUACAUUUAUUGGCUAUAUAACGUUGCAGAACAUCAAGUUUUGCACUCCCAACAAACCAAAAAACAGAGCUAGCUAGCUAGACUAAAAUGGCAGAAACUGCAGUGUCCUUGGCUGGUCAGCAUGCGCUUCCAAAAAUAUUGGAAGCUGUCAAAAUGUUGAGAGAUCUCCCAAAAGAAGUUAGAGACAUUACAGAUGAACUUGAAAGCUUUCAAGAUUUCAUCAAUGAUGCUGAUAAAGUGGCUGAAGCUGAACAAGAUGAUGGAAGGCGUCAUAGAAAAAAAGAAAGGGUGAUGCGGCUGAGAGAAGCAGCUUUUCGCAUGGAAGAUGUCAUCGAUGAAUAUAACAUCUCCUGUGAGGAUAAGCAACCUGAUGAUCGUCGAUGUGCAGCUUUACUAUGUAAGGCUGUUGCCUUCAUCAAAACUCAAAUCCUUCUCCUUCAAAGUGCGUAUAAGAUUCAGGAUGUUAAAUCGCUUAUUCGUGCUGAAAGAGAUGGUUUCCAAAGCCAUUUUCCUUUAGAGCAAAGACCAACCAGUUCUAGAGGAAAUCAAGAUGUCACCUGGCAGAAACUUAGAAGGGAUCCUCUCUUUAUUGAGGAAGAUGAGGUUGUGGGGCUUGAUGGCCCUAGAGGUAUAUUGAAAAAUUGGUUGACAAAUGGAAGAGAAAAACGCACUGUCAUCUCUGUGGUGGGAAUUGCAGGGGUGGGAAAAACCACUCUUGCCAAGCAAGUUUAUGACCAGGUGCGUAACAAUUUCGAGUGCCAUGCGUUGAUCACAGUUUCUCAAUCCUUCUCUUCUGAAGGAUUGCUGAGGCAUAUGUUGAAUGAGCUUUGCAAAGAAAAAAAGGAGGACCCUCCCAAGGAUGUUUCUACCAUCGAGUCGUUGACAGAAGAAGUCAGAAACCGCUUGCGCAACAAGAGGUAUGUUGUCUUGUUUGAUGACGUAUGGAAUGGAAAAUUUUGGGAUCACAUUGAAUCUGCUGUAAUUGAUAAUAAAAAUGGAAGUAGGAUAUUAAUCACAACCAGGGAUGAGAUGGUUGCAGAAUAUUGUAGGAAAUCAUCAUUUGUUGAGGUGCAUAAGCUAGAAAAACCUUUAACUGAAGAAGAAUCUUUGAAAUUGUUCUGUAAGAAGGCAUUUCAGUAUAGUUCCGAUGGAGAUUGUCCAGAAGAACUUAAAGAUAUAUCUCUUGAAAUUGUUAGAAAGUGUAAAGGUUUACCUCUAGCAAUAGUGGCCAUUGGUGGUCUUUUGUCUCAAAAAGAUGAAAGUGCACCUGAAUGGGGACAGUUUAGUCGAGAUCUAAGUUUAGACUUGGAGAGGAAUUCUGAGUUAAAUAGUAUAACAAAAAUUUUAGGUUUAAGUUAUGAUGAUUUGCCGAUCAAUCUCAGAUCAUGUUUAUUGUAUUUCGGAAUGUAUCCAGAGGACUAUGAAGUUCAAUCUGAUAGAUUGAUUAGACAGUGGAUAGCUGAAGGGUUUGUCAAACAUGAAACCGGAAAAUCUUUGGAAGAAGUUGGGCAACAAUAUUUAUCAGGGUUGGUCCGUAGAAGUUUGGUGCAAGUAUCCUCAUUUAGAAUUGAUGGCAAAGUUAAAAGGUGUCGUGUUCACGACUUAAUACACGACAUGAUCCUUAGAAAAGUCAAGGAUACAGGAUUUUGUCAGUAUAUUGACGAGCCUGAUCAAUCUGUAUCAAGUAAGAUUGUUCGACGCCUGACAAUUGCAACCCAUGAUUUUAGUGGAAGUAUAGGAAGCUCACCCAUUCGGUCAAUUAUUAUUAGCACAGGAGAAGAUGAAGAAGUAUCUGAACACUUAGUAAACAAAAUCCCUACCAAUUACAUGCUAUUGAAGGUACUUGAUUUUGAAGGUUCUGAUUUACUUUAUGUUCCUGAAAAUUUGGGGAAUUUAUGCCACUUGAAGUAUUUAAGCUUCCGGUAUACAUGGAUUGAAAGUCUACCAAAAUCCAUUGGCAAGCUCCAGAAUUUAGAGACCUUGGAUAUAAGAAACACAAGUGUGUCUAAGAUGCCAGAGGAGAUUCGUAAGCUUACUAAGCUACGUCAUCUUCUGUCUUAUUAUACGGGUUUAAUUCAAUGGAAGGAUAUUGGAGGCAUGACAUCCCUACAAGAGAUACCUCCAGUGAUUAUAGAUGAUGAUGGAGUGGUCAUUAGAGAGGUUGGAAAGCUAAAGCAGUUAAGGAAACUGACAGUGAUAGAUUUUACGGGAAAACACAAAGAGACUCUGUGUUCCUUGAUAAAUGAGAUGCCACUCUUGGAGAAACUACGUAUUUAUACAGCUGAUGAGAGUGAAGUAAUUGAGUUGUACAUUACGUCACCUAUGUCUACACUUAGGAAGCUUGUCCUAUUUGGGAAGUUAACAAGGUUGCCAAAUUGGAUUUCACAGUCCCCAAAUCUUGUGCAACUGUAUUUGUACAACUCCAGGUUGACUAAUGAUGCAUUGAAAUCACUAAAAAAUAUGCCAAGGUUAAUGUACCUCUGUUUCGAUUACAAUGCUUAUGAAGGUGAAACUUUGCAUUUUCAAUGUGGAGGGUUUCUGAAACUAAAGCAACUAUUCCUCCAAAGUUUGGAUAAGUUGAAGUGCAUCCUUAUCGACAGAGGAGCACUGUGUUCUGUGGAAGAAAUUGGUUUAGAAGACCUCUCCCAACUCAAAACAGUUCCCUCUGGAAUUCAACACUUGGAGAAACUUAAAUAUCUCUUUAUCAGCAACAUGUCAACUGAAUUUGAGCAGCGCAUUGCUCCCGAUGGAGGAGAAGACCACUGGAUCAUCCAAGAUGUGCUCCAUGUACGUAUUUGGAGCAGGCAUGCUGAAGAACCUUCACAUAUAUUCGGCAUAAGUCAUCACUAAGAUGCGUCCAAAUUUGAAAAUAGAAGGAGGAGAAUAAAAAAUAUGACGAAAUUACAAGCGAAUUAGGGAGAGUUAUGCAUCUUCGUACUUCCAAGGCUGGGACCCAGCCAUUCACAUUAGGUGCAAGCACAAGGGCCACCUAAGAGGCAAGUAAAUCCUUCCUCUUUUUCUGGCUUACUUUGCUGAUUAUGUAUUCUAUAAGAUCUCAUUCAUUUGUUUCCUAAUCACAUUCUUUAUCGGAUUUACAUCAUUGAUAGCGGCAAGGUUCAUUAUAAGUUAUGAUUAUUUUUUUUAUAUAUUUUUUCUGGGCAGAUAGAAAUAUUUUGGACUGCACUUCUUAUCAUGGUUAGGACCAGGGAUAAUAAAUCUUGUUAUGCUAGCAGGGAAACUAGUUGGUGGAUUCAACAUUAGGAAAGGAAGUUGGGAAUGGAGAAUGAUACGUGCAGGAAAUUAAAGAGCUGGUUUUGAGGAUCAGUGACCUCCAGGAAGAAGAUAAAAUUCAGGAAAGGCUCAUUUCACUCAUGCAUCUACAAUUUAUUACAAUAUGUAUAUUUAUACUGAAAUUCCUUAACAGAAUUGGGAUUCUAUGCUAGGAAAUAUCCUAAACCAAAAACAGAAUUGGUUAUUGCUGCCCCCCUGCUGGACGACAUCAAUACUCUGCAAAUCCUCCUAUUGUCAUCUCAGCCACGAUCAUAUCACAUAAUCCUUCAGGUAUGACGAAUUUAAAGCAACCCAUGUUAGCCUUGGGCGACACACGUCCUAUGCUGGGAUCGGAUAAAUUAAAACUAGUGAUUUGUAUAUUGUGUUAGGGAGAGGUUCUCUGUGCUCCGAAGUGAGUGGAAAAAGUUCCAGUGAGGGGUGGAACUCCAAAUUUGAUUACAUCAGCAUGGGAAAUCAUGGUGAAACUCAGAACACAGCACAAAAGGAUAUGAGUCCUAUAUAUUAGGAACAAAACUUCAACCAUGUCAACUUAGCUCAUCAAUCCAUUAUGGUGGCCAGGACAUAUAUUCUUGUCCUAAGAGUACACAAGAUUCAGGAUACAACUCUUUGCUGUACAAGAAAGAUGGGGUUGAAGAUGAUUUAGGAAGUAACCUGUGGCAAGGGGGUCCCUGUUAUUAAGAUCACACUUGCCAAAGGAUAUGCUCCUUAAGGUAUACAAGUUUCUUAUAGCCUUAGCCAAAUGGUACUCUAGAUAUCUGAUUAAUAUUCCUUCCCUUCAACUUUUACGUGCUAAUCUGUCCAAGAAAUUGUCUGUUCUUUCUCCGGAGGAGUUAAGAGAUUUUGUUUGCUGUAAGAUAAUCAAGUUCCUCCUCAAGAUCCUGGCCCCUAUCCUCAAGAACUAAUUAUUGAGACAUAUACUCCUCCAGAUCCUGGCCUCUAUCCUCAAGAUCAGCCUAAACAAAAUUCAGUUCGAUUUACACCCACCCAGGUGAAUUCAGCUCUUGAUCUCAAUCAUAUACUGUCACUUUUCAUGCAUAAUGAUUUUUCUUUUAAUCUUUCUUUGCCCCCCUGCUUUCCUCACAAUAGUUGAAUAUGAGUAUUUGACCAAAAUCCAAUUGAUUCAUAUGGCUAAAUUGAUGCAUGUAGAAUGCAAAAAUACAAUGCUUGUGUUUCUUGAUCCAGUACAUAUUAAGUAUGUAGUGUAGUUAGCAUCACAAGUCAUGUCCUAUUUCCCUUUGUACUGUUGCCUCGUCAGUAAUAUGAAAUGAAUGAUUAGUGUGCCAUGAUAUAUUUUAAAAGUUUUGACAAGAAUAAGGAGUCCAUGAUUUUGUGACAAUGUAGAUUCAUGUUACCCUUAAAUUUGUUAAAGAAUAGGAUUGUGUUUACCAUUACUUGUUGAUGUUUUGCUGAUGGUUGUUUUAAAGAAAUUUCCAUUGUUAAUAUGCAAAGAAAUUGGAAAGUUCUUUUUGGCCAUGUUGGCUUUCUGUUUUCUUUGUACUUUCUGUCAGUGGGUGCAGUUGAGGAGAGCAAGGAAAAAAGCACUUGGUUCACACAUUUUAAAAAAUUGUGGGGCCUUCCUAUUCUUCCUUUCUCUCUAGCUGCAGUUCAACUGCAGGUUGAAGCAAUCAUCUCUGGCAUUCAGCCUGAUCUAAUUAUGGUUGUGGGGCCACCUGGUACAGGAAAGACUGAUCAACAAAGUGUAAUUAGGAACUAGUUUUAUUAUUAUUACAUGACAUUUACCUAUAGAAGACCGUAGGUACAAGUAAAUUGACUUUUACUUACAGUUAGAGAUUAUAGGUAUAAAUUAAUAUCUUUAACCUACACAUUUAGAAUAGUAGGUGUUACCUAUAGUGAUAGUUAAAUUUUGACUGUAGGUAAAAAUAUAUCUGUAAGUAAAGCCUAUAAUGACAGACUAUUAGUUAUCACUGUAUACCCCCUCAAAGUUGACGCAAAAAACGUCUGUAGGACAAAGUCCUUUAUACAUCUACCUACGGAUUUUGGACUUCUA